CGUGCAGGCGGCUUUGUAAGUUGUGCGUGAAAGCGCUCAGGCUCAACCGGGCGAGGACGUGCAAAACUGCGGAGCUAGAGAGAGGUAGAGGCGUGUGGAAUUCCGGGUGUAGUGGUGAAAUGCGUAGAGAUCCGGAGGAACACCAGUGGCGAAGGCGACACGCUGGGCCUUAUCUGACGCUAAGACGCGAAAGCAUGGGGAGCGAACG
RNAcentral lists this ribosomal RNA (208 nucleotides) under uncultured bacterium. Its description in RNAcentral is "partial 16S ribosomal RNA". It matches the Rfam family "Bacterial small subunit ribosomal RNA", at positions 568 to 774 of the family's 1533-position model. The record is from RNAcentral.